This 251-nucleotide ribosomal RNA is filed under the name uncultured bacterium. RNAcentral's name for it is "partial 16S ribosomal RNA". It matches the Rfam family "Bacterial small subunit ribosomal RNA", at positions 524 to 776 of the family's 1533-position model. The record is from RNAcentral.
UACGGAGGAUGCGAGCGUUAUCCGGAUUUAUUGGGUUUAAGGGUGCGUAGGCGGUCCGGAAAGUCAGCGGUAAAAGCCCGGGGCUCAACCCCGGCGAGCCGUUGAAACUGUCGGACUAGAGACGGCGAGAAGUACGCGGAAUGCGCGGUGUAGCGGUGAAAUGCAUAGAUAUCGCGCAGAACUCCGAUUGCGAAGGCAGCGUACCGGCGCCGGACUGACGCUGAGGCACGAAAGCGUGGGUAUCGAACAGG